AGCAGCCGCGGUAAUUCCAGCUCCAAUAGCGUAUAUUAAAGUUGUUGCAGUUAAAAAGCUCGUAGUUGAAUUUCGGGGUUAGUAGGUUGGUCGUGCCACUGGUACGUACUGGUCUCACUGAUUCCUCCUUCCUGAUGAACUGUAAUGCCAUUAAUUUGGUGUUGCAGGGAAACUGGACUGUUACUUUGAAAAAAUUAGAGUGUUUAAAGCAAGCUAACGCUUGAAUACAUUAGCAUGGAAUAAUGAAAUAGGACGUAUGAUCCUAUUUUGUUGGUUUCUAGGAUUGACGUAAUGAUUAAUAGGGAUAGUUGGGGGCAUUAGUAUUCAAUUGUCAGAGGUGAAAUUCUUGGAUUUAUUGAAGACUAACUACUGCGAAAGCAUUUGCCAAGGAUGUUUUUCAUUAAUCAAGAACGAAAGUUAGGGGAUCGAAGACGGUCAGAUACCGUCGUAGUCUUAACCAUAAACUAUGCCGACUAGGGAUCGGAUGAUGUUAAUUUUUUUAAUGACUCAUUCGGCGCCU
RNAcentral lists this ribosomal RNA (520 nucleotides) under uncultured Glomus. RNAcentral describes it as "SSU rRNA". It matches the Rfam family "Eukaryotic small subunit ribosomal RNA", at positions 569 to 1088 of the family's 1831-position model. The record is from RNAcentral. Lineage: Eukaryota; Fungi; Glomeromycota; Glomeromycetes; Glomerales; Glomeraceae.